Molecule: long non-coding RNA, 4354 nt
Organism: Oncorhynchus tshawytscha (Chinook salmon)
Lineage: Eukaryota; Metazoa; Chordata; Actinopteri; Salmoniformes; Salmonidae
Source: Ensembl
GGAAAGCAGAGAUCGUGACAUUUAUUCAAGGCAUGCUACAAUUAAAGUUGCUUUAGGAAAAAAAUAAGAAGAGAUUCUGAUGCAAUAGUAAUAAUGAGAAUCAUUAUAAUAAUAUCUAUAAUAAUCAUAGUAAUCAAUCGAAAAAUUUCAAAGAAAAUGUUUCUAUAUCAAAUACAGAAACUCCAUUCAACCAUGCACCACAAACAUUUUAAAAUAUGUUUCUUUAAUAGUUUCAUUUUCUAUUUGCAUUCUAAUGACAUCAACUCAUAAGGAAACCUGUUGUUUCUCACCCCAAACCUUCCGUCCCCACGACGUCACACACACUGCUUUACAAAUCAAUCCUGGUAUGAUAUCAAAAUACACAAGUUGUUUUUCAUGUUGUGUUCAUCUUUAAAUAUAUAUUAAAAAAACAAACAGUUGAAGGUCCAAUGCAGCUGUUUUUUAAAUGUUUAAAUCUCAGUAUCAAAUACUUUCUGGGUAAAAAUUAAGAACCUAACUGUGAUUUAUAUUAUCAAAAAGAAACAAAAAUAGCUUCUUAGCAAAGAGCAAAUAUCUCAAGUAAGAAUUUAGAUAGGACUGUCUGGGAGUGGUCUGAGUGGGGAGGGGAAAACUCAAAACGAGCUGUUAUUGGCAGAGAGGUUUGGAACUCUUUCUUAUUGGUCUAUUAACUGGUGAUGUCACCAGGCAGGCUAAAACUCCAUCCCACCGAAACGGGCUGACAUUUCAGGCAGUCUUUUCAAACAGCUCUUACACUAAAGGGGCAUUAUCAUCAUUUUAGCAAUUUCACAGUAUUUUUCCAACCUCAUAGCAUGGAAAUAUCAAAACACAGGUAAAUCACAUUUUUGAGUGCACUGGGACUUUAAUGUUUCUCGUUAUUGUUGUUAUUUGUAGCUUUCUUGUUCUCAUGAACCAUUUUGGCCAAGUUUGAAAAGGGAACAUUUUUAAAUACAGACUUUCUUGUUGUCUAUUUUGGUCGUGAAACAUUGAAUAUUAACUAUAAAUAAGGUAUAUUAUCAAGACGUGCCUUAAAGAGACAAGAAAUCAGAUCAGAUGAGACACUUUCCUGUGUCCCAAAUGACACUAUAUCCUCUAUAUAGUGCACAACUUACGUUCAGGGCCCAUAGGGCUCAUGUCCAAAAAAGUAGUGCACUACGUAGAGAUAAGUGUGCCGUUUUGGAUGCACCCCUCUGACUGAGCUCUGUGUAACUACAUGGCUCUUUAAAAUGUCAAAUCUCUCCCUUUAGUAAUCAUGAAACUGGACGUCUAUUCAACUUCUCCAAUCAUUUGUCUCCCAUAUAAUUCAGUGAUAUUGACAGGAAAAGUCACUAUUAAAGUAACACUAUUGUAGUAAACUCAGGGGGGCUGGGGGGUAUCCCCGGCCAGGACUCGAACCCUGGUCCAGUGAGGGUCACUACACUAUGAUUGGUUGUUGUAAUAAGAGGAUUCAGCUCCUUUGGUUUCAGUUCAUGUGUUGUCUUCUUCUUGUACAACUCAAAGUAAAGCUAAAGGUACAUUUGUUUUGUUUGUUUUUUUGCGUUUUAUUACGUGAGUCUGUGGGAAUCAAUGGGCUAGCCUGGAAUCCAACCUGAUUUCAUUAUGUUUCAUUACGUUUCACUGUUUCAGUCUGGGUUAACCAGGCUAGGAAUGGGCUCCCUUAAUAUGGAUUCCUGUCAAAAUGUUGUAAAUUAUAUUUUGACUGAAAUGUAUAUCUAUAACUUACUUUACCCCUGUUUUGAGAGAGCCAAUGACCUCGUCUUCAGCAAUGACGGUCUUUAAUUUAAACAAUAGUGAUGGAUGAGGGAACCAUGGGAUGACGGUCUUUAAUUUAAACAAUAGUGAUGGAUGAGGGAACCAGGGGAUGACAGUCUUUAAUUUAAACAAUAGUGAUGGAUGAGGGAACCAGGGGAUGACAGUCUUUAAUUUAAACAAUAGUGAUGGAUGAGGGAACCAUGGGAUGACAGUCUUUAAUUUAAACAAUAGUGAUGGAUGAGGGAACCAAGGGAUGACAGUCUUUAAUUUAAACAAUAGUGAUGGAUGAGGGAACCAGGGGAUGACAGUCUUUAAUUUAAACAAUAGUGAUGGAUGAGGGAACCAGGGGAUGACAGUCUUUAAUUUAAACAAUAGUGAUGGAUGAGGGAACCAGGGGAUGACAGUCUUUAAUUUAAACAAUAGUGAUGGAUGAGGGAACCAGGGGAUGACAGUCUUUAAUUUAAACAAUAGUGAUGGAUGAGGGAACUAGGGCAUGAAAAACAGAUCAAUGAAAGGCACAUCAACUUUGGUCCUGUUUGUUUCUGUUGUUUGUGACUCUUCAGUAUAAAAAACAGUUGAUAAUGUAAAAGUAAAAUGUUAAUCACAAUUGAAAAGAAAAGUCUGUCAUCAUGGCUGAACUAUGCUGCCUGAGUUAAGGCAUGACUGUGGAAGCGUCCCAAAUGCAACCCUAUUCCCUAUACAGGGACCGUAGGCUCUGAUCAAAAGUAGUGCACUAUGUAGGGAAUAGGGUGCCAUUUGGGAGACCUAGAAACGUUUAGACGUUCUAUAACAUUCAGAGACCUAGAACAUUCAGACAUUCUAGAAUGAUCAGCUUUCAUGAUGACACAGAAGGUUUUACAGUCAUCCUGCUUUCUUCCUGUUCACAAAUGAAAAUGUUUUAAAUGACAGAGAGAGUCGAUCCACAGAAAUAGGAGUAUGAUGAAGACCACGACCAAGGCAGCUCAGCGGAGACUAGCUCUGGUCCAGGGUGUUACAUGAAGCGCAGCAUCAAUAACCAGUAUGGUGGGUUAUACGAGGUUCACGGUCUGAACCAGCCCUCAGAUACCACAGCAUUAUUGGGCCCUAUUCCCUAUACCGGGCACUACUUUUGAUGCACCCAAAAAACUUGGGGUCGAGGUCAGUGCCAGGGGGGACUCCUGUGGCGCCGUAAAAAAAAAAAAGUAGUGCAUUAUAUAGGGAAGAGGGUGGUAUUUCAGACACACAUUCUCAGGGCUUUCUGCAGACUCAAACACCUGUUGUUAUGAAAAGCAGAGUGACAGACAACCAGUUCACCUUUAAAAGAGAGAAAAAAAAUGCACUACAGAUAUCAGUACGGAUCAAAAAGCAGGCAACCAAAAUACCCUAACAUGAAUAAUAUGAGAAACAAGUCAAAUAAAGAUUACAACUCAAAAACACACAGAUGGGAGGUUCUCUUACAUCUUCACUCAAAAAUAGCUAAAUGAAGGAAAACCUGAAAUGACCUAAGUGGGUGUUGUGGGCCUUAACAUCAGAGGAAUAACAUUUAUACACAGGGUUUGGGUAGGUUACUUUAGAAAUAAAAAUUAAUUAUUUUUAUUGUCCUCAUCAGAUUUGCUAAACAGAACUCAGUCAGUAUUGACUUAGAUUGUGUUACAUGUUUUAGACCUGAGCUACAUUCUGCAUCAAAAGGCAUUAGUUCUGUUAAUGGUGCUGUAGAACGGUCUAGAAGAUGGGGAUGUGACGCCAGUAACAACAGAUCAUCAGUCACAAAUAAGUGAAGAAGAAUGAAUACGGAGUCAAACAUUUUACACACACACACUACACACACUACACACACACACACACACACUACACACACUACACACACACACACACACACACACUACACACACACACACACACACACACACACACACACACACACUACACACACACACUACACACACACACUACACACACACACUACACACACACACUACACACACACACUACACACACACACACACACACACACACACACACACACACUACACACACACACACUACACACACUACACACACACACACACACACACACUACACACACACACACACACACACACUACACACACACACACACACACACUACACACACACUACACACACACACACACACACACUACACUACACACACACACACUACACACACACACUACACACACACACACACACACACACACACUACACACACACACACACACUACACACACACACACACACUACACACACACACACACUACACACACACACACACUACACACACACACUACACACACACUACACACACACACACACUACACACACACACACACACACACACUACACACACACACACACACACACACACUACACACACACACUACACACACACACUACACAAACACACUACACACACACCACACAUACACACUACACACACUACACACACACACACACACACCACUACACACACACACACUACACUACAAGGCACACACACACACCACUACACUACACACAUACACACACCACUACACUACACACAUACACACACUACACACACACAAACACACUACACACUACACACACACUACACACACACACACUA